UAUAUUAACAUAUGAAUUUUGUAUUGUAAUAGUUAGAUGUAUUUCUAAGAUGUUAUAAGAGAACCUCCAAAGAGUCUUACAACAAAUCCCAGAACUAGGAUCUACUACAAAUGGACUGCCUGAUUUUUUAGGUAGCCCAAAGUAACCUCCGACAACACCCAACAAAACUGAAUAUGAAGUCAACCCUCCUUUGAUGAAAUUAUUCCCAUCACAGAGAGAUAGUCCCAAAACUAUUGAUAAAAUUUUCCUUUGUAAACACACUCCAUUCAACAAAAGAGUGACACACCUAAGACUUGAGAUACGAGGUCAGUGCUCUUUACAGUGAAAGCCUCCCAUGACAGAGAUGUUCCCAGAAUAGCACCAAGGACACAAAGAUGAGCUCCCUUGUUCCAUAGAAGCACAGAUAAAUCUGAACAGAAAUACCUCAAAUGCAAGCAUAAACCUUUAUAAACAAAGGCUGCAACAUACACCACAUACCUUUGUGCAGCGUAUAUUCAUACCAUAUUAAGAAAAACACAUCUUAAACCUAACUAAGAGAUCAACAAAUAUAUCAAUGAAACAUAAGAUAUGUUACAUAGAUUUAAGACACACAAAAUACUAUAUUGGCACCAUUUAGGAUAUGAAAAAUUCUAACUUUUUAUUUAUGUUUAAUUCAGGAUCAAAUUUUUAAUUGAAUCACCUUUUAAAUUGAGUAAAACACCACACUUCAAUCAUAUCAACCUUUUUUCUUCCUAAAAAAUAUUAUUCCUAUGAUUUCUAUGCAUCUCACUUGUAAUCUUAAGUGCAUUUUUAUUCUAUACUUAUUAUCAAAUCAUUAUAUAUCAAUGGGUAUAAUAUAUAUUACCUUUGUACAAUAUAUAACCAAUUUUUUUCUUUUUUUUGCAUGAUUAUUCCUUUCAAAAUUUCAAUCUUUGGUUUUUCUUUAGCAGAAACAACAACAAUAAGACGUAGAAUUUUUUAAAGUUGAAACUAUUCGAACCAAAAUAAUGAGGAGACAAUAACAGAGUUGGCUGCUGUUACUACCCUGCACUAAGCAUUAACCAGUCACUCAAUUUCAAUCUUACCCUUCCAAUUUCAAUUUAUAGAUAUCAUUAUUCUUUUGAGAAUGAUAAUUUACUCUGAUAUAAUCUAUUUUAAUUUCUUUAAGCUCACCAUUCUGAAAAGAAUCUGAAUGUUUGUAAAAUUAAAUUGAAAGAGUAAAAUUGAUAAUAAGUGACAGUUUAAUGCUUAUUGCAGGAAGAAACAGCUCCCAACUCUGUUACUGGCUCCUCACUAUUUGGGUUCGAAGAGUUUCAAAAUCAAAAGAUUUCAGGUCUUGUUGAGAUGUGUUACUGCUAAAACAAACCUGAAGCUGCAAUUUUGAAAGAAUGGUAAUGCCAAAACACAAUUUGGUUACAUAUUGCAUAAGAAAUAAAGACCAUGUAAUAAUUUGCAACUACUUUGAAAGAGUUUUGCUAAAGAAAUAAAUUACACAAGCACAAAAAAAAUAAAUCGAGUUUUACAAAAAUCACACACACAUUUACACUAGAAUUUAAAGAUGAAGUUAGUAGUAAAAAAAAUUAAUUACAAAAACAAAAAAUACCCACAACAUAUACUCAUACAUUAAUUAGCCUUUUACGUGAAAACAUUUGAAUUGUAUAAAUAACCUCAAAUUGAGAUAAAUAAUAAUAAUAAUAAUAAUAAUAAUAAUAAUAAUAAUAAUAAUAAUAAUAAUAAUAAUAAUAAUAACAGUUCUGAGAUAAAUAAUAAUAAUAAUAAUAAUUGUUCUGAGAUAAAUAAUAAUAAAAUAAUAAUAAGUGUUCUUACCAUUUAUUUGAGACCAAAUAUUCUCUAUCAAGUGUCUUCCGUCUUCUCUCUCUUCAAUUCUUCCAUUGUUCUUUUGAGUAUGUCUGUGAGAUUGGAGUACCUGCAAAGAUACUCUGACGCUCAAGUCAGUUGAAUUGUAUAUCUGAUUAUCUAGUUCAAAAUUGAAACAGUCAUUACUUUUUACCAUAAGGUCUCCUCUUAUUUAUGCUUUUCUAUCGAGCUUUGUGUUGUGUAAAGAUUAGACCUAAUAAUCCCUUAAUAAUGUUUUAUCUCUUUUAAUCAAUGUUAAUCUAUUUAAUUUACGGAUUAACGUGAUACUAGUUUUAGCCAAAAGGUCGUGCUACUCUAUAAGGUGAUCUAAUUUUUUGCUUCUUGAUUCUUGAUAUAAUAAUAAUAAUAAUAAUAAUAAUAAUAAAAUGAUACAAGAGACCAUAGAAAAAUCAAUAUAUAUAUAUAUAUAUAUAUAUAAUGAAAAACUAGUAGUGAGUAAAUAUGAAAAAUCAAAAAC
Molecule: long non-coding RNA, 2314 nt
Filed under: Phaseolus vulgaris (common bean)
Lineage: Eukaryota; Viridiplantae; Streptophyta; Magnoliopsida; Fabales; Fabaceae
Description: long non-coding RNA (PVUL_LNC000843)
Source: RNAcentral